AGCCUAUAAAAGUGAGGGCGUUGGGGUAUCACGUCAUCAGAAGUGGCCCGAAACAGCCGCAGACUGCCGCUAGGUGUCACUGGCGUCUCCCCUCGCUUCCAGAACGUCAUUUUAUACGACUACGGAAUGAAAUGUCACGUGAUCAUCUUGCGAUGUUUGACCCUUGCUGUGAUGGUAUCUGUUAUCUCAGCGGAACUCAAAAUGGGGAAGUGCAAAACUCAUGGAGAAAUCGACUCCAUGGACAAUUUUGAUAUAACGAAGUUCGUUGGCGAAUGGUACGUAGUCCAAGGACAGAGGGAAAGAGGAAAAUGCAUCAUGAACUAUUUCUUCCUUCGUAAAUCCGGAAAGAUAAAGCAUGGUGUCAAAAAACAGUACGAUAUUGUGCAUAAGCACUGGCAAUUAGCCGGUUUGUUUUCAGUCCACCAUCAGAAGAACCAUGUCCUCUUUCUGACCGAAGGGCAAGAAAAUUGCAAGUCACAUAUAGUAGCCAAUCGUCUAAUUAUUACUACCAAUUAUUACAUCUUGGAAACGGAUUACGACAGUUACGCCCUUUUGUACCGGUGCGAGAACUUCAUUUUCUUCAGAAACGAGUACGCUGCCAUUCUCUCGAGAACAUGGCGUCUGGAUCCUUCCAUCAUCAAGAGGUUGCAGAAGUCAGUGGAGAAGUUCGGCAUUAAACCAGAAGACUUCAACAGGGUCUAUUUCCAUGACUGUGACUCAGAAGAUGCUUAGUUUUUGACUUCCCUUUACUUGUGUGGAUGAAACAACGCGAAGAUAAGACUGAACAGAGGAAGAGAAUGCAGCCACUCGCCUAACCUUAAAAGUAGAACAUCAGGAGCAUCAUUUGUAGAAGAGAAAGGAAAAGAAAUAAAGAAGACCUGAAGAAUGCGAAUUGCAUUGCAGAAGAACGAAGAAUCUGUCACUUCAUUGUCUCUUUUGUAGCACACAAAAAUAUGCUGAGGAACCACCAUAAUCUUUCUUUUAUCUUGACCAACUUUUGUAUUUUCUGUCUUUUAACAGAAAUAGACUUGAGUAAAUUAAUAAGGAAAGAAAUAA
Molecule: RNA transcript, 1056 nt
Organism: Macrobrachium nipponense
Lineage: Eukaryota; Metazoa; Arthropoda; Malacostraca; Decapoda; Palaemonidae
Gene name: apolipoprotein D-like
Exons: 6
Source: RefSeq, a predicted model, not a curated record